UUGCCUUAGUAGCGGCGAGUGAAGCGGCAAAAGCUCAAAUUUGAAAUCUGGCGCCUUCGGUGUCCGAGUUGUAAUUUGAAGAUUGUAACCUUGGGGUUGGCUCUUGUCUAUGUUUCUUGGAACAGGACGUCACAGAGGGUGAGAAUCCCGUGCGAUGAGAUGCCCAAUUCUAUGUAAGGUGCUUUCGAAGAGUCGAGUUGUUUGGGAAUGCAGCUCUAAGUGGGUGGUAAAUUCCAUCUAAAGCUAAAUAUUGGCGAGAGACCGAUAGCGAACAAGUACAGUGAUGGAAAGAUGAAAAGAACUUUGAAAAGAGAGUGAAAAAGUACGUGAAAUUGUUGAAAGGGAAGGGUUUGAGAUCAGACUCGAUAUUUUGUGAGCCUUGCCUUCGUGGCGGGGUGACCCGCAGCUUAUCGGGCCAGCAUCGGUUUGGGCGGUAGGAUAAUGGCGUAGGAAUGUGACUUUACUUCGGUGAAGUGUUAUAGCCUGCGUUGAUGCUGCCUGCCUAGACCGAGGACUGCGAUUUUAUCAAGGAUGCUGGCAUAAUGAUCCCAAACCGCCCGUCUUGAAACACGGACCA
Molecule: ribosomal RNA, 577 nt
Filed under: Meyerozyma guilliermondii
Lineage: Eukaryota; Fungi; Ascomycota; Pichiomycetes; Serinales; Debaryomycetaceae
Description: eukaryotic LSU rRNA
Rfam family: Eukaryotic large subunit ribosomal RNA
Source: RNAcentral